UUCCGGUUGAUCCUGCCGGCGGUCACUGCUAUUGGAAUCCGAUUAAGACAUGCGAGUCGAGGGUGGUUCGUCCACCCGGCAAACGGCUCAGUAACACGUGGAUAAUCUGCCCUUAGACGAGGAAUAAUCUCGGGAAACUGAGGACAAUACCUCAUAGGCCUUGGAAGCUGGAAAUGCUCCAAGGUUUAAAGCGUCUAGCGCCUAAGGAUGAGUCUGCGGCCUAUCAGGUAGUAGGGGGUGUAACUUACCCCCUAGCCGAUGACGGGUACGGGCCUUGAGAGAGGGAGCCCGGAGAUGGGUUCUGAGACACGAACCCAGACCCUACGGGGUGCAGCAGUUGCGAAACCUUCACACUGUGGGAAACCACGAUGAGGGGAUUCCAAGUGCCAACACAAUGUGUUGGCUUUUCAUCUGUCUAAAACGCAGGUGGAAUAAGAGCCGGGUAAGACUGGUGCCAGCCGCCGCGGUAACACCAGCGGCUCAAGUGGUGGCCUUUUUUAUUGAGCUUAAAGCGUCCGUAGCCGGUCCAGUAAAUCUCUGGGUAAAUCGAACGGCUUAACCGUUCGACUUCCAGAGACACUGUUGGACUUGGGGCCGGGAGAGGCCAGAGGUACUCUCGGGGUAGAAGUAAAAUUCUGUAAUCCCGAUAGGACCACCAGUGGCGAAGGCGUCUGGCUAGAACGGACUCGACGGUGAGGGACGAAGCCCUGGGGCGCGAACCGGAUUAGAUACCCGGGUAGUCCAGGGUGUAAACGAUGCGGGCUUGGUGUCGACAGUCUUACGCGGGCAGUCGGUGCCGUAGAGAAGUUGUUAAGCCCGCCGCUUGGGGAGUACGGCCGCAAGGCUGAAACUUAAAGGAAUUGGCGGGAGAGCAC
This 875-nucleotide ribosomal RNA is filed under the name uncultured archaeon. RNAcentral describes it as "bacterial SSU rRNA". It matches the Rfam family "Archaeal small subunit ribosomal RNA", at positions 1 to 879 of the family's 1478-position model. The record is from RNAcentral.